CUAGAAGAAAACACGCGCAUAGAUGGCUCUGUUCCUUCUCCUAGAAUCUUCUUUCCUUUUGGAAAUAGGUAAGGUUUUUUCGUUGAUAUUUUUCUUUUACUCUUCACCUCUUUCAUUGUUUCUCUCUGCAACUCUUCACCUCUUUAGAAACCCUACAAUCAUCUUAUUCACGAUUCAUCUUAUCCUCCAAUCCAUCACCUUCUUCAAUUGAAUACUGGCACUCAUAAUCGAUGAAGGAAUACGUGGGGCUGUGGUGGUGCAGAUCUGGUUGGAAAAACGUUUUUAGAUCUGAAUAAUCAGCUUUCUCCACCUGCUGAAACUUAGAAUGAUGGUAGUUCUACAUUUAGUGUUAAUUGUUUGCCAUGGCGGUCUAAUAGACCGAUCUGAGGCAAAUGGCUUGGUCGCAUACUGGGUAAAAAAGACAAGUUCUUAUACAGGUCUUGCUGAAAGAGCUAAACGUUUUAUUUCGCCUUGAUAAAAGAAGAUAGGAUCGGUUUAUGGUAACUUCAAGGAAACAAGGAUAUUUAGAUAAAAAGAAUACUAAUUGAAAAUUGCAGUUCUUUUGAUUGUUUGAUAUGGUAUACAGGUCAUGAAGAUCGAAGUACAAUUCCAAUUGUCAAGUUAAAUGAUGAUAAAAGCCCUCUUCAAAGAACAUUUAUUCAUCAGGUAAUAUCAGACCAAAUUCAUGACACAUUCUGCAAGUGGCUUUGUGUUUUGUUAAUCAGAAACUGCGCAUAUGGGCUCAACUAUUUAUUUAGCCAUAACACAUUCUGCAAGUGGUUUUGUGUUUUGUUUAGUGAUUCUUUUGAUAAUAUAUCUAGAUGUUCACCUACAAUACGUUACCUGUGAUAAGGAAUGUUAGCGGAGGUCUAAACCUAUAAUGUAUAUAGAUUAUAGGUUAAUUUUAUAAGAAUUACAAACUGUUUAUGUAUUGUAUAUAUAUACGUGAUUAUUUUUGGAAUAGUGGAUUAUUAUGUAUGUAUAGUGGCCAUUUUGUGUUAAAUGACUUGGUAGAAACCACCAUAUGGCUUCAAGAAGCUCCAGUUAUAACAGUUUUCAAUAUUU
Helianthus annuus (common sunflower) is the source of this 1065-nucleotide long non-coding RNA. RefSeq lists it as uncharacterized. The transcript is spliced from 4 exons. Lineage: Eukaryota; Viridiplantae; Streptophyta; Magnoliopsida; Asterales; Asteraceae. The record is from RefSeq and is a predicted model, not a curated record.